GCCCCCGUGGUGAAACUGGAUAUCAUUUAGGGCUUCGGACCCUAAGUUGCAGGUUCAAAUCCUGCCGGGGGCACAA
This 76-nucleotide transfer RNA is filed under the name Candidatus Parcubacteria bacterium. RNAcentral describes it as "tRNA-Arg". It matches the Rfam family "tRNA". Rfam says of the family: Transfer RNA (tRNA) molecules are approximately 80 nucleotides in length. Their secondary structure includes four short double-helical elements and three loops (D, anti-codon, and T loops). The record is from RNAcentral. Lineage: Bacteria; Candidatus Parcubacteria.